GAUGAACGCUAGCGGCAGGCCUAACACAUGCAAGUCGAGGGGCAGCACGUCUUCGGAUGGUGGCGACCGGCGCACGGGUGCGUAACGCGUAUGCAACCUACCUCUUACAGUGGGAUAGCCCAGAGAAAUUUGGAUUAAUACCGCAUAGUAUACAGAUUCAGCAUUGGGACUGUAUUAAACAUUUAUGGGUAAGAGAUGGGCAUGCGUUCUAUUAGUUAGUUGGAGUGGUAACGGNACCCCAAGACAGCGAUAGAUAGGGGCCCGUGAGGAGGGGGACGUCCCCACACUGGUACUGAGACACGGACCAGACUCCUACGGGAGGCAGCAGUGAGGAAUAUUGGACAAUGGGCGAGAGCCUGAUCCAGCCAUGCCGCGUGCAGGAAGACGGCCCUAUGGG
RNAcentral lists this ribosomal RNA (397 nucleotides) under uncultured bacterium. Its description in RNAcentral is "bacterial SSU rRNA". It matches the Rfam family "Bacterial small subunit ribosomal RNA", at positions 28 to 422 of the family's 1533-position model. The record is from RNAcentral.